Molecule: ribosomal RNA, 92 nt
Filed under: uncultured eukaryote
Lineage: Eukaryota
Description: partial 18S ribosomal RNA
Source: RNAcentral
CGGUGUGGUGACAUGUCUGGUCUAUUCCGCUAACGGACGAGACCUACAAGCGUAACAGCCAACGUGAGUUGGAGGAAGUGUAGUCUAAAACA